ACCUUGGGAGGAACCGGUCAAAGGAAUGAGCGCCUUCUGGAACUGUCAAGCCUUCAUUUAGCAGCCAGGUGACUGGCUUGGCCUCCUUGUGAGGUGCUGAGGGAAGAUGUCUGCUGUUCCGAAACGAUAAAAAUAAAAAAUGGGGUCCCUGUGUUGUUGAGUGAUGGGUGCUAAUGCUGGCAGCUGAAUGAUUAUCUUCUGGCUAUGUUUUCAUUUGUUGAAGCUGAAACGCAGCCUACGACCUAGGACGUCACAGCCAGAGCUGCCUCUGGCAAGGUCUUGUAGCUGGCUUAAGAGGGCAGAUGGAAGCAUCUGCCUCAGGGGCAGGUGAGCGGGCAGAGGUGUCUCACACAGGCUCAAAGGAGCAAACUGCAUUCUGAAGAGCUGCAUAAGAAGGGGGCUGGUCAUGAGCUUGGUUGGAGUGGAAUGGCUAAGGAGCGUGAGGUGACUAUGAAAGGUCUCUGUCUUGUUUGUGGGUGCCAUGGCAGGCUCUCCACAGAAGUGGCUGAUGAUUUGAGAUAAGACCGGAGAGCGGCAAGGAGCGGCAUGUGCAGUUAUGGCUUCCAAGUGCUGUGGUUGCUCUGUUCUGUUUAUCAGGUGCCACAGGCAAGGUGGGUUGUAACAUCAGUCUUUAGAAUUGGAGCAAAGCAGGUCGCUUGAAUGCUGCAUUGUUCUUGAGAAAGGUGUUGUAGAGAAAAAAGGUGGACUGGUGUGGCAGUUUCUGAUGGCGGUCCGUUUCUGCAGGUGAAGAGGUGCCUGAGGCCCCGUCCCGUGUAGGCUGAGCAUGUCUCGCUGAGGAUGAAGCCUGCUUUCCAGCAGGUCCCAAAGCUGUGUUGGGGCUGAAAUGCUGUGUCUGUAUUUGGGUUGGGGUUGUGCCUUGGUGAGUGUGGGGUUGGGUUUUAAGUUGGUGCAGCAGAUACGUAUAUAAAUGAAAUUCACAUAAGUGAUAUAUGAUAAAGUAUUGUGAAUCCUUGAACUUCUAGUCUACAUUAGCUAAUAUGUAUGGAGUUGCAUGAAACAUUGAGAAGCAGCUUCUAAUAAGCAGGUUUUUGUUGUCAUUAACUCAGCCCAUGCCUUUGCCAUACAUAAAGAUCAAGACAAACUACCUUUUUACACAGGAACUGCUGUGGUUGCACAGAAAGUCCUAGAGGACAUUUAGGGCUGUAUUUUGGUUCCCAAAGCAUUUUUACCUGAAGUCCAACUGAUUUAUAUUGGCCGAGCCUCUUUAUAGGGUCCCUGUCUGGUCGCAGAGCCUAGCCACGGUGUUUCCACUGCGCUCUCUGCUCCGUCCUCUUCUUUAGA
Oxyura jamaicensis (ruddy duck) is the source of this 1302-nucleotide long non-coding RNA. RefSeq lists it as uncharacterized. The record is from RefSeq and is a predicted model, not a curated record. The transcript has 3 exons. Lineage: Eukaryota; Metazoa; Chordata; Aves; Anseriformes; Anatidae.